This 398-nucleotide ribosomal RNA is filed under the name uncultured Glomus. RNAcentral describes it as "SSU rRNA". It matches the Rfam family "Eukaryotic small subunit ribosomal RNA", at positions 569 to 967 of the family's 1831-position model. The record is from RNAcentral. Lineage: Eukaryota; Fungi; Glomeromycota; Glomeromycetes; Glomerales; Glomeraceae.
AGCAGCCGCGGUAAUUCCAGCUCCAAUAGCGUAUAUUAAAGUUGCUGCAAGUUAAAAAGCUCGUAGUUGAAUUUCGGGACUAAUAUGUCGGUCGUGCCUCGGUACGUACUGGCUUAUUGGUUUCUCCUUUCUGACGAACCAUGAUGUCAUUUAAUUUGGUGUUAUGGGAAGUUUAGGACUGUUACUUUAGAAAAAAUUAGAGUGUUUAAAGCAGGCUUUAGCUUGAAUACAUUAGCAUGGAAUAAUGAAAUAGGACGUUCGAACCUAUUUUGUUGGUUUCUAGGAUCAACGUAAUGAUUAAUAGGGAUAGUUGGGGGCAUUAGUAUUCAAUUGUCAGAGGUGAAAUUCUUGGGAUUUAUUGAAGACUAACUACUGCGAAAAGCAUUUGCCAAGGAUGU